Molecule: ribosomal RNA, 902 nt
Filed under: Clavascidium lacinulatum var. lacinulatum
Lineage: Eukaryota; Fungi; Ascomycota; Eurotiomycetes; Verrucariales; Verrucariaceae
Description: LSU rRNA
Rfam family: Eukaryotic large subunit ribosomal RNA
Source: RNAcentral
UGGCUGCGAUCUAAUUCGCCUGGAACGGCGGGUCAGAGAGGGUGAGAAUCCCGUCUGGGGUCGCGUGCCGUCGCCCGUGUGAAGCUCCUUCGACGAGUCGAGUUGUUUGGGAAUGCAGCUCCAAAUGGGUGGUAAAUUCCAUCUAAAGCUAAAUAUGGGCCAGAGACCGAUAGCGCACAAGUAGAGUGAUCGAAAGAUGAAAAGCACUUUGAAAAGAGAGUUAAACAGUAUGUGAAAUUGUUGAAAGGGAAGCGCUGGCCACCAGACUUGCGGGUGACGGUUCCCCCGGCCCUCCGUGGCCGGGCUACUCCGUCACCUCCAGGCCAGCAUCGGUUCGGGUGGUCGGUCAAAGGCCCCGGGAAGGUAUCUACCUCCGGGUCGACUUACAGCCCGGGGCGCCAUGCGGCCCACCCGGACCGAGGAACGCGCCCGCUCUGGGCUCGGAUGUUGGCGUAAUGGUGGUCAGCGGCCCGUCUUGAAACACGGACCAAGGAGUCUAACAUCCAUGCGAGUGUUUGGGUGUCAAACCCCGGCGCGGAAUGAAAGUGAACGGAGGUGAGAGCCCCGCGAGGGGUGCAUCAUCGACCGAUCCGGAUGUCUUCGGAUGGAUUUGAGUAAGAGCAUGGCUGUUGGGACCCGAAAGAUGGUGAACUAUGCCUGGAUAGGGUGAAGCCAGAGGAAACUCUGGUGGAGGCUCGCAGCGGUUCUGACGUGCAAAUCGAUCGUCGAAUCUGGGUAUAGGGGCGAAAGACCAAUCGAACCGUCUGGUAGCUGGUUCCUGCCGAAGUUUCCCUCAGGAUAGCAGUAACGGCGACAGUUUUAUGAGGUAAAGCGAAUGAUUAGAGGCCUUGGGGUUGAAACAACCUUAACCUAUUCUCAAACUUUAAAUAUGUAAGAAGUCC